GAACGAACGCUGGCGGCAGGCUUAACACAUGCAAGUCGAACGCACCUUUCGGGGUGAGUGGCAGACGGGUGAGUAACGCGUGGGAAUCUACCCUUCUCUACGGGGUAGCUCCGGGAAACUGGAAGUAAUACCGUAUACGUCCUGAGGGAGAAAGAUGUAUCGGGGAAGGAUGAGCCCGCGUUGGAUUAGCUAGUUGGUGGGGUAAAGGCGUACCAAGGCGACGAUCCAUAGCUGGUCUAAGAGGAUGAGCAGCCACAUUGGGACUGAGACACGGCCCAAACUCCUACGGGAGGGAGGAGUGGGGAAUACUGGACAACGGGCGCAAGCCUGAUCCAGCCAUGCCGCGUGAGUGAUGAAGGCCCUAGGGUUGUAAAGCUCUUUCAGGGGGGACGAUAAUGACGGUACCCACAGAAGAAGCCCCGGCUAACUUCGUG
RNAcentral lists this ribosomal RNA (434 nucleotides) under uncultured bacterium. RNAcentral's name for it is "partial 16S ribosomal RNA". It matches the Rfam family "Bacterial small subunit ribosomal RNA", at positions 27 to 507 of the family's 1533-position model. The record is from RNAcentral.